GACGAACGCUGGCGGCGUGCUUAACACAUGCAAGUCGAACGGAAAGACCCUGCUUUUGUGGGGUGCUCGAGUGGCGAACGGGUGAGUAACACGUGAGUAACCUGCCCUUGACUUUGGGACAACUUCAGGAAACUGGGGCUAAUACCGGAUAGGAGCUCCUGCUGCAUGGUGGGGGUUGGAAAGUUUCGGCGGUUGGGGAUGGACUCGCGGCUUAUCAGCUUGUUGGUGGGGUAGUGGCUUACCAAGGCUUUGACGGGUAGCCGGCCUGAGAGGGUGACCGGCCACAUUGGGACUGAGAUACGGCCCAGACUCCUACGGGAGGCAGCAGUGGGGAAUAUUGCACAAUGGGCGGAAGCCUGAUGCAGCAACGCCGCGUGCGGGAUGACGGCCUUCGGGUUGUAAACCGCUUUCGCCUGUGACGAAGCGUGAGUGACGGUAAUGGGUAAAGAAGCACCGGCUAACUACGUG
This 468-nucleotide ribosomal RNA is filed under the name uncultured bacterium. Its description in RNAcentral is "partial 16S ribosomal RNA". It matches the Rfam family "Bacterial small subunit ribosomal RNA", at positions 28 to 507 of the family's 1533-position model. The record is from RNAcentral.